This 484-nucleotide ribosomal RNA is filed under the name uncultured bacterium. RNAcentral describes it as "partial 16S ribosomal RNA". It matches the Rfam family "Bacterial small subunit ribosomal RNA", at positions 30 to 507 of the family's 1533-position model. The record is from RNAcentral.
AUUGAACGCUGGCGGCAUGCUUUACACAUGCAAGUCGAACGGCAGCGCGGGCUUCGGCCUGGCGGCGCGUGGCGAACGGGUGAGUAAUACAUCGGAACGUGCCCAGUAGUUGGGGAUAGCUCGGCGAAAGCCGGAUUAAUACCGCAUACGACCUGAGGGUGAAAGCGGGGGAUCUUCGGACCUCGCGCUAUUUGAUCGGCCGAUGGCAGAUUAGCUAGUUGGUGGGGUAAAGGCCUACCAAGGCGACGAUCUGUAGCUGGUCUGAGAGGACGACCAGCCACACUGGGACUGAGACACGGCCCAGACUCCUACGGGAGGCAGCAGUGGGGAAUUUUGGACAAUGGGCGAAAGCCUGAUCCAGCAAUGCCGCGUGUGUGAUGAAGGCCUUCGGGUUGUAAAGCACUUUUGGCGGGAACGAAAAGGACUGUGCCAAUACCACGGUUCGAUGACGGUACCCGCAGAAUAAGCACCGGCUAACUACGUG